This 843-nucleotide ribosomal RNA is filed under the name marine metagenome. RNAcentral's name for it is "bacterial SSU rRNA". It matches the Rfam family "Bacterial small subunit ribosomal RNA", at positions 22 to 868 of the family's 1533-position model. The record is from RNAcentral.
GCUCAGGAUGAACGCUAGCGGCAGGCCUAAUACAUGCAAGUCGAACGGUAGACUACUUUCGGGUAGUUGAGAGUGGCGCACGGGUGCGUAACGCGUAUGCAACCUACCUUGUACAGGGGGAUAGCCCGGAGAAAUUCGGAUUAAUACCCCAUAGCAUUACCAGAUGGCAUCUGAAGGUAAUUAAAGAUUUAUCGGUACAAGAUGGGCAUGCGUGACAUUAGUUAGUUGGUAGGGUAACGGCCUACCAAGACUAUGAUGUCUAGGGGUUCUGAGAGGAUGAUCCCCCACACUGGUACUGAGAUACGGACCAGACUCCUACGGGAGGCAGCAGUAGGGAAUAUUGGUCAAUGGGCGAGAGCCUGAACCAGCCAUGCCGCGUGCAGGAAGACGGCCUUCUGGGUUGUAAACUGCUUUUAUACGGGAAGAAAAGACCCUUGCGAGGGAGAUUGCCGGUACCGUAUGAAUAAGCACCGGCUAACUCCGUGCCAGCAGCCGCGGUAAUACGGAGGGUGCAAGCGUUGUCCGGAUUUAUUGGGUUUAAAGGGUGCGUAGGCGGGCCUUUAAGUCAGUGGUGAAAGCCUGCAGCUUAACUGUAGAACUGCCAUUGAUACUGGAGGCCUUGAGUGUACUAGAGGUAGGCGGAAUUUAUGGUGUAGCGGUGAAAUGCAUAGAUACCAUAAAGAACACCGAUAGCGUAGGCAGCUUACUGGAGUACAACUGACGCUGAGGCACGAAAGCAUGGGGAGCGAACAGGAUUAGAUACCCUGGUAGUCCAUGCCGUAAACGAUGAUUACUCGAUGUUGGCGAUACACUGUCAGCGUCCAAGCGAAAGCGUUAAGUAAU